GCCGCGGUACCCUAACCGUGCAAAGGUAGCGCAAUCACCUGUCCCUUAAUUGAGGACUAGUAUGAACGGCUAAAUGAGGGCCCCCCUGUCUCCUGCGACCAAUCAAUGAAUUUGAUCCUUCAGUACAAAAGCUGAGAUACACACAUAAGACGAAAAGACCCUAUGGAGCUUUAAGCCAUUAUACUACCAAACCACAGCCCCCUUUCCACCGCCCUAGUAUAUACUUUCAGUUGGGGCAACUACGGAGCAAAACAAAAACUCCACGAACAAACGUCUAAUACACGCAGUAUUUCAGGCUGCCACGCCACACACCCCAGACCUUAGACCCAGUCUAACUGAGCAACGGACCAAGUUACCCUAGGGAUAACAGCGCCAUCUUCCCCCCAGAGCCCAUAUCCACGGGGAGGCUUACGACCUCGAUGUUGGAUCAGGACCCCCCGGCGGUGCAGCCGCUGCCAAAGGUUCGUUUGUUCAACGACUAACGUCCU
This 488-nucleotide ribosomal RNA is filed under the name Lygodactylus madagascariensis. RNAcentral describes it as "partial large subunit ribosomal RNA". It matches the Rfam family "Bacterial large subunit ribosomal RNA", at positions 1930 to 2597 of the family's 2925-position model. The record is from RNAcentral. Lineage: Eukaryota; Metazoa; Chordata; Lepidosauria; Squamata; Gekkonidae.